Molecule: ribosomal RNA, 402 nt
Filed under: uncultured bacterium
Lineage: Bacteria
Description: bacterial SSU rRNA
Rfam family: Bacterial small subunit ribosomal RNA
Source: RNAcentral
AUUGAACGCUGGCGGCAUGCCUUACACAUGCAAGUCGAACGGCAGCACGGGAGCAAUCCUGGUGGCGAGUGGCGAACGGGUGAGUAAUAUAUCGGAACGUGCCCAGUCGUGGGGGAUAACGUAGCGAAAGCUACGCUAAUACCGCAUACGAUCUAUGGAUGAAAGCGGGGGAUCGCAAGACCUCGCGCGAUUGGAGCGGCCGAUAUCAGAUUAGGUAGUUGGUGAGGUAAAGGCUCACCAAGCCGACGAUCUGUAGCUGGUCUGAGAGGACGACCAGCCACACUGGGACUGAGACACGGCCCAGACUCCUACGGGAGGCAGCAGUGGGGGAAUUUUUGGGACAAUGGGCGCAAGCCUGAUCCAGCAAUGCCGCGUGCAGGAUGAAGGCCUCGGUUGUAACGU